UACGGAGGGUGCAAGCGUUAUCCGGAUUCACUGGGUUUAAAGGGAGCGUAGGUGGGCUGGUAAGUCAGUGGUGAAAUCCCCGAGCUUAACUUGGGAACUGCCAUUGAUACUAUUAGUCUUGAAUACUGUGGAGGUCAGCGGAAUAUGUCAUGUAGCGGUGAAAUGCUUAGAUAUGACAUAGAACACCAAUUGCGAAGGCAGCUGGCUACACAAAUAUUGACACUGAGGCUCGAGAGCGUGGGGAUCAAACAGG
Molecule: ribosomal RNA, 253 nt
Filed under: uncultured bacterium
Lineage: Bacteria
Description: partial 16S ribosomal RNA
Rfam family: Bacterial small subunit ribosomal RNA
Source: RNAcentral